RNAcentral lists this ribosomal RNA (495 nucleotides) under uncultured bacterium. RNAcentral's name for it is "partial 16S ribosomal RNA". It matches the Rfam family "Bacterial small subunit ribosomal RNA", at positions 28 to 507 of the family's 1533-position model. The record is from RNAcentral.
GACGAACGCUGGCGGCGUGCCUAAUGCAUGCGAGUCGAACGCUGAAGGAGGAGCUUGCUUCUCUGGAUGAGUUGCGAACGGGUGAGUAACGCGUAGGUAACCUGCCUGGUAGCGGGGGAUAACUAUUGGAAACGAUAGCUAAUACCGCAUAAUAGUAGAUGUUGCAUGACAUUUGCUUAAAAGGUGCAAUUGCAUCACUACCAGAUGGACCUGCGUUGUAUUAGCUAGUUGGUGGGGUAACGGCUCACCAAGGCGACGAUACAUAGCCGACCUGAGAGGGUGACCGGCAACACGGGGAAGGAGACAGGGCCCAGACGCAGCGGGGAGGAAGAGGGAGGGAAGUGUGGGAAAGGGAUGGAGUGCGAAACGACAAACGCCGGGGGGGGAAAGAGGGGUGUGGGGUCGAAAGUGUUGGUUGAAGGAAAAGAAAGGGGGGGGGAGUGAAAAGUUCACUCUGGGACGUUAUCUAACAAGAAGGGGAGGGCAAACUACGUG